CCUAAAACCUCUGCAAACCCCCGCAACCUCUAAUCUCCGUUAACCAUCCGUACCGCCAGUCCAAUUCCGAGAAUCUAAAAAUCCAAGCAUGCCCAUCAUCCAAAGCACCUGCAUCUCAAAUGUCCUGCCAAUCCCCAACUCUGCGGUUCCACUUCCACCCUAUUCUUUGAGCUGCUCCACCCUCAGCUCCAGAGCUUCUGCAUUCUUUACCAGAAAUAGCAACCCAAUCUUCAAGCCCAAUUACGCUCCUUUCCUCCGUACGAAGCCCCCAAGGGGUGCUCGUUUGGUCAUCCAGGCCGCCGGAACUGAUCAUUAUAAGACUCUCAACGUCCCUAGAAGUGCCACGUUGCAGGAGAUCAAGUCCUCUUAUCGAAAGCUCGCUCGCAAGUAUCAUCCAGACUUAAACAAGGGUGCUGGGGCUGAGGACAAGUUUAAAGAGAUUAGUUCUGCAUAUGAGGUCCUAUCAGAUGAUGAGAAAAGGUCUUUAUAUGAUCGCUUUGGUGAAGCAGGUUUACAGGGAGAAUAUGAUUCUUCGGCCAUGGGUUCAACAGGGGUGGAUCCUUUUGACGUUUUUGAUACAUUCUUUGGAGGGUCAGAUGGGAUUUUUGGAGGAAGGGGUGAAUCAGGAGGCUUUAACUUCAAUUUGAGGAACAGGGGAAACCAGGGUCUAGACAUUAGGUAUGAUCUGUAUCUGAGCUUUGAAGAAUCCAUUUUCGGAGUACAGAGGGAAAUUGAAGUUUCUUCUGUUGAGACAUGUGAUAAUUGUGGUGGAACAGGUGCUAAAUCUGAUAAUUGCAUAAAAUCAUGUACUGGUUGUGGAGGAAGAGGAGGGGUGAUGAAAACUCAGAGAACACCAUUUGGCAUGAUAUCACAGGUAUCAACCUGCUCAAAGUGUGGCGGUGAUGGUAGAAUAAUCACUGAUCCUUGCCAAAGAUGCAGUGGCAAGGGACAAGUACAGUCCAAAAGAACUAUGAGUGUGACCAUCCCAGCCGGUGUUAAUGAUGGAGCCACAAUGCAAAUUCAAGGGGAGGGAAAUUUUGAUAAGAAAAGGGGUACAGUUGGUGAUGUCUUCAUAGUGCUUCAUAUAGACAGAAAGGCUGGAAUUCAUAGAGAUGGACUCAAUCUGUACUCAAAGAUAAAGAUUGAUUAUACCGAGGCCAUUUUAGGGACUGUUAUAAAGGUUGAAACUGUUGAAGGCUUGAAAGAGCUUCAGAUUCCUUCUGGAAUUCAGCCUGGUGAAACAGUAAAGUUGCGGCGCAUGGGGGUUCCAGACAUGAACAAACCUUCUACUCGAGGAGAUCAUCACUUUGUUGUCAAUGUUCUGAUCCCAAAGAUAAUCAGUGAUAAGGAACGCGCACUUGUUGAAGAACUGGCUUCACUUAAGGCAUCUAGAGAAGGUCAUUCAGUUGCUUCCAAAGGCACAGGGACACAAGAUGCGAACUUUGCCAUGCAUAGAACCAGUGCUUCAAGCCAGGGAACUAGUCGUGUUGCAUCCUUCUGGAACUCAAUAAAGGGCGUACUGGGGAAGCGGCAGUCUUCGUCGGGAGAGGGAUUUGCAUCAGUUGGUGUAGGCAGCCCAUGCCCACCCUUAUUAUGGGGAUCAACGAAGCCAAAUUCGUGUUAUUAUAUGGCAUCGCUGUUUACAGUUUUAGUUGUAACUUAUAUUUGUAGCAUGAUGGGAAAGACCCGUAACCUUACCUUAUUACAACAACAAAGUGAUGCUUCUCCUCCUCAUACAACCAAAAAGAACAGCGUAGGUAGAAAGUCUAAAGUCUAACAAAGAUGUAAUGGCUACCUACAUUAUUAUAUAUUGGAUCUCAGGAUUUGCCCUGCCAUCUUUACACAUGUUAGAAGACACACUGCAAGAGCAAGGAGUGUAAAAAGCACACCUUGCACAAGGUCACCCAAUACAAGAAAGGAAAGGAUAGCCUUGCUGCUCAGGGAAAGAGGCGUUACGAUCGUAAGCAAAAUCAGGUUAUGGAGGUCAAACCAAGCCAGUGUUCCACAAGAAGGCAAAAACUACAAAGAAGAUUGUCCUGAGGCUCCAAUGCCAGGGUUGCAAGCAUGUGUCUCAGCAAGAGGUGCAAGCACUUUGAAAUUGGUGGAGACAAGAAGGGAAAGAGAACCUCUCUUUUCUAAGUGCACUGAUUGGGUUGUAUUUUGUGUUGCGUUCCAUCUUGUUGGAGCUUUAAAGCUAAUAUGAUUGUCCUUGUUCUUAGUUGUUCUGUUCAA
Prunus dulcis (almond) is the source of this 2232-nucleotide RNA transcript. It is a transcript of the gene named chaperone protein DnaJ, with no coding region annotated. NCBI's taxonomy places the organism in Eukaryota, Viridiplantae, Streptophyta, Magnoliopsida, Rosales, Rosaceae. The record is from RefSeq and is a predicted model, not a curated record. The transcript has 14 exons.